Glycine soja is the source of this 1036-nucleotide RNA transcript. It is a transcript of the gene named photosynthetic NDH subunit of lumenal location 4, chloroplastic-like, with no coding region annotated. The record is from RefSeq and is a predicted model, not a curated record. Lineage: Eukaryota; Viridiplantae; Streptophyta; Magnoliopsida; Fabales; Fabaceae. The transcript has 6 exons.
AAGAGUUGAAUUAAUAGAGAUACAGAUAACGUGAAACUGAAAGGAAAAUGGCACUCUCAGUCUCCUCACCCUCAUGCGUACGCGUUCCUUCAUGUUUUUGGAAACCAAAUGGCAAGAGUUGCAAAGAGCGUACUAAGGUGUCAUGUGCAGCUCACAAUGAUAAUAAGAAUCCGUUGGUUGGAAUCGGUAUUGGGGUUGUAACGUCUUGUGUGAUGGGUUUAACUGCAUUGGAUGCGGACGCCACGAGAAUCGAAUACUACGCAACAGUGGCAGAGCCUUUGUGUGAGUACAACUAUGUUAAGUCUGGCCUCGGCUACUGCGAUAUUGCUGAGGGCUUCGGUGACGAAGCUCCACUGGGUGAGCUUAUCAAUGUUCACUAUACUGCGAGAUUCGCUGAUGGGAUAGUAUUCGAUAGCAGCUAUAAACGUGCUAGACCUCUCACCAUGCGCAUUGGUGUGGGCAAGGUAAUCAAGGGACUGGAUCAGGGGAUUUUAGGGGGUGAAGGAGUACCUCCAAUGCGGAUAGGUGGGAAACGCAAACUGCAGAUUCCUCCGCACUUAGCAUAUGGCCCUGAACCUGCAGGGUGCUUCUCAGGUGACUGCAAUAUACCCGCCAAUGCCACUCUUCUGUAUGAUAUUAAUUUUGUUGAGGUUUAUUCGGGGAACAGAUCAAAGUGAAGUCAGUCAAAACUGGUCAGAUACAUAUAUACAUAUGAACCACAGAUGGAUGGGUUUAGAGCAAUGAAAUGGACAUUUUGCUUGAGAAUAUGGAUCAACUUGCUUGGCAGAAUCUUCUUCCUGAUUACAACUACCUCAAGUUACUGUUCCUGGUUAGUGGAGUUGUACAUGAUUGACCUGGAUAUCCCUUUUGAGAGUAAUGAGCAAUCCUUCCUGGUGAUAUAUUAAGAUAAUUCAUGUGUAUCUCUGCACAUGACAUGCGAACAGUUUGUGCAUCUUUAGUGUAAAUGUAAUUUCAAUACUGCUCUGAAUGAUAAAAAAUUGUUAAUUCUUCAUUUGAUAAAUGCCUGUCUCUAAUA